This 133-nucleotide small RNA is filed under the name Pseudomonas sp. M30-35. The record is from RNAcentral. Lineage: Bacteria; Pseudomonadati; Pseudomonadota; Gammaproteobacteria; Pseudomonadales; Pseudomonadaceae.
CGUGUUUAGGGACAAACACAGGUUGUUAGGGACAGCGGCUAGGACAAUCGCGGGAUGCGAUUUCAUCAGGAUGAUGAGUAGGAAAUAUAGGGAAUAGGGACAAAAGUGGGCGGGUUAAACCGCCCCUUUUUUU